RNAcentral lists this ribosomal RNA (260 nucleotides) under uncultured bacterium. RNAcentral describes it as "partial 16S ribosomal RNA". It matches the Rfam family "Bacterial small subunit ribosomal RNA", at positions 92 to 354 of the family's 1533-position model. The record is from RNAcentral.
UGAGUGGCGACGGGUGAGUAACGCGUGGGCAACCUGGCCUGUACAGGGGGAUAACACUUAGAAAUAGGUGCUAAUACCGCAUAACAGGAGAAGACGCAUGUCUUUUCCUUGAAAACUCCGGUGGUGUAAGAUGGACCCGCGUCUGAUUAGCUGGUUGGCGGGGUAACGGCCCACCAAGGCGACGAUCAGUAGCCGGCCUGAGAGGGUGACCGGCCACAUUGGGACUGAGACACGGUCCAAACUCCUACGGGAGGCAGCAG